This 467-nucleotide ribosomal RNA is filed under the name uncultured bacterium. RNAcentral describes it as "partial 16S ribosomal RNA". It matches the Rfam family "Bacterial small subunit ribosomal RNA", at positions 28 to 506 of the family's 1533-position model. The record is from RNAcentral.
GACGAACGCUGGCGGCGUGCUUAACACAUGCAAGUCGAACGGAAAGGCCCUGCUUUUGUGGGGUGCUCGAGUGGCGAACGGGUGAGUAACACGUGAGUAACCUGCCCUUGACUUUGGGAUAACUUCAGGAAACUGGGGCUAAUACCGGAUAGGAGCUCCUGCUGCAUGGUGGGGGUUGGAAAGUUUCGGCGGUUGGGGAUGGACUCGCGGCUUAUCAGCUUGUUGGUGGGGUAGUGGCUUACCAAGGCUUUGACGGGUAGCCGGCCUGAGAGGGUGACCGGCCACAUUGGGACUGGGAUACGGCCCAGACCCCUACGGGGGGCAGCGGUGGGGAAUAUUGCACAAUGGGGGGAAGCCUGAUGCAGCAACGCCGCGGGGGGGAUGACGGCCUUGGGGUUGUAAACCGUUUUCGCCUGGGACGAAGGGGGGGUGACGGUAAUGGGGAAAGAAGCACCGGCUAACUACGU